Podarcis lilfordi (Lilford's wall lizard) is the source of this 26866-nucleotide non-coding RNA. NCBI's taxonomy places the organism in Eukaryota, Metazoa, Chordata, Lepidosauria, Squamata, Lacertidae. The record is from the annotation of a GenBank genome assembly.
CGUUGCAAAAAUCCACCUUAAAAGUUCUUGGAAAGAAAGCACGAGAAAUCGAAUCCCAGUUGGGUUCUAGGGUUGCCAGAUUUCGAAAAGUAAAAAAACCAGGGCACCCCGAAAGUUCUUAGGAAGACCCCAAAUUGCUGAACGCUGUUUUUAAAAGAAACCACCUAAAUCAUUGAGCUUUUUAAAAGGGAAAGGCGUGGAAAAAAACCAUGAUUUUUCGAUUGACUUUCCUGAACUCCAGGACAAAGCACCACUUUUGGGAAAUUCCCUCCAAUGUCAAUUCCGCCAUUGAAAUCCCAGUAGUGUCCAGUCGUAUGGCAGUCCUAAACCCAUAGAAGGCAGCCAGAACAAACCCCCAAAGUAAGGCAGUAAGUCUCACUGGACUGGGCAAAGAUGCUUGGGGAGGAGGGGUGUGCACUCUAGGUUGAUGCUUGUCUGCUACUGGAUUUUUUAUUUUUAAAGAAAACACUAGGUGCUGGGGCCUGGAUUCAGUGGUGUCCUGAUAUCUGUAAGUUGUGUGGCAUUGGCUCAGAAGCCACAGCCAUCCUUCCAAGAGUCUGCGAGGCAGAGUUGUAGGAAGCAGUUUUGUAGCCCACACAAAGAGGAUGCAGUGCCAUCUUCUGCCUUUUAUCUAAUGGGCUCUUGUUUCUUUUUAAUGCCUCAAACUGAUAGUCCUCAAAAUAUUGCACACCUCCAAGAGGAAGUAUGGCGUCAGAUAUCUUGGGAUGGGAUAGGAUACUUUGGGCUGAAUCCAGGUUUUCCCUCCCCCCCCCAAACAAAUUAUCAUCACUGUGAUGAUGCCACCAAAGCUUGUAUACAGUGGUACCUCGGGUUACUUUUCACUUCAGGUUACAAACUCCAUUAACCCAGAAAUAGUACCUCGGGUUAAGAACUUUGCUUCAGGAUGAGAACAGAAAUCGUGCUCCGGUGGCACGGCAGGAGGCCCCAUUAGCUAAAGUGGUGCUUCAGGUUAAGAACAGUUUCAGGUUAAGAACAGACCUCUGAAACGAAUUAAGUACUUAACCCGAGGUACUACUGUACCUUUGGGGGGUGGGAAUAAACAACUGCAAUAACUUCUUCAUUUAAAAGCAGUGUCAGUUAAGGCUGACAAUACACAGUGCUUCCUGCAGUACUGUAAUUAAGAAUAAAUAAUCAUAAAAUUGUAGAGUUGGGGACUCUGAGAGUCAUCUAGUCCAACCCCCUGCAGUGUAGGAAUCUCAACUAAAGCAUCCAUGAAGAUGGUCAUCCAACCUCUGCUUAAAAACCUCCUAGGAAGGGGAGUCCACCACCUCCCACAGGAGUCCAUUCCACUCUUGAACAGCUGUCACUGUCAGAAAGUUCUUCCUGGUGUUUGGUCGGAAUCUCCUUUCUUGUAUCUUGAAUCCAUUGGACUGAGUCCUACCCUCCAGAGCAGGAGAAAACAGUUUGCUCCAUCUUCCAUGUUUCAGCCCUUUCAAUAUUUGAAGAUGGCUAUCAUAUAUUGCAAAUUAGUGAUGCUUGUUCAGUGGAGUUUUAUGGAAGAAUGUUCUGAAAUGAGGGCUUUCAACUAUAACCUAUUGCUACCAGGUAGAAGGGACCAGUUUUUAACUGAUACCCGAAAAUAAAUGAUAUUUGAUGAAAGUGUUAUCUUCAGUGAUGCACAGCUGUUAGAAUAUAAUCUUUGGGUUGCCCAUGAUUUUCAUAUCCCACCUUUUACCAAUUAAGAAUUAACCUAAGGCAAGUAACUAUGCACACAAUGUGGAUUAAUAUUCUCAAACCUUUAACAUUAAACCAUUGACACUUUUUUCUUAUAGUGCUCCAAAAAAGUUUUUGUCAGAUGGUUCAGACUAUUGGACUAGGUCAGGGAUGGAGGACCCUUUGGUCUGUGGGCCUAGUUUGGUUGCUAGGUCUCUCAAUCUGUUUCCCAGCAUUUGCCAUGGACUGGGAUAAGGAUGAAAUCUGUGCCUACCCAGUUCAACAGUGUUGAUCUGCUGAAGGGCAGGGAUGGUCUGACUUUCAUCUCCAUCGUGGUAUGCUGGAUGGAGAAGUUUUAACCUCCAUGCCUCACACACAACAAUUGGGAAGACAACCCCCCCCCCCCCCCAUAUUUACGUAAAUCAUCUGAUGAGUGAUGAAUGAUGGUUCAUCCCCAUUGUGGCACACUGAACAGGAAGGGUAAAACCUCCCCCGUGUACCACAAUAGGGAUCAAAACUGGACCUUCAAGGGAUCCACGCCAGUCAGCUGAGGAGCAGGGAGCUUCACUUUUCAUUCCUAUCCCAGCACAUGGCCUCCCUGCCCACCUUGUGUUAGGGAUUAAUACCAGGUCUUUCCCCCUAGAUGAUCCUCCCAGGGAGGAGAAAUUACAGAUGUGGUGCAGCUACCAAGGAGGCUCUGCUCCACAAGAGUGCCAGCCUGUCUUCCAGCUUUAUUCUUCAACAGUAGGGAUGAGAAUAUGCAACACAGUUAAGGGAAGGAGAAUUUAGACUUAUUACAGUACUAUCUUUCUCCAUAGAUCAAUAAAUACUUUUUUUCUUUCUUUUUUUACAAAAUCCAUUCCCCAUUUGUUCAUUGUAGGAGGGAAUGAGAAAUCCAUUGCUCUGUAAUUAUUCUAGCGAGAAGUAAAAUACAAAAACAUUCAUAGCUUUGACUAUGUAGAAAUUGAUUGUUACUAUAAACAAAGUUAGUCUGAUGAAAUCCAUAGAAAUAUGCCAAGUUACACAUCCUGGAACCAUAACUUCUGGUGAGGAAACGUUUUCCAUUUCUUCAAAUCUGCAUGCAUAUUGUUGUUGCUAACAAAGAAUUGCCUUUGAGAAAAUAGUUCCAACUGCAGUGAAAUGAAUCCAUCCACUUACAUUGUCUAGUAGAAAUGUAUGGAAUGAUGUGCCUAUGCCAGUUCCUUCAAAAGCCUGUGUAUCAAAAAACAAAAUCUGUGCUUAUUCAUACUUUCUCCUUUCAGUUAAAAUUGCAGUGAUUUUUAGACCUUUUCAGUGGUGAUGUAUGCUGAAAUGAAUGUCCUGGAGAUUCCCACUUAAAAUUCCCCUGCAUCUUACAAAGACACCAUUGUAUCCUAGUACUCAGUCCAUUAGCCCUAGUAGCUUUGGGGGGAAAGUUCUCUGAAGGGGGAAAAAAUAUUCCCAGCCUGAUACAUUGUAGGUACAUCUACCCAUACUCACCAUUUUACCAGGAGAAAACUGUUGGAUUGAUAAAAAGCAGUACCUACUUUUCUUUGGCUCCAUCAACAUUUCUCUGGCCUUUUGGUGUAUAUCACUAUAGUUUCUUCCAGAUUUAUAUCCCCCUUUUUGAAAACACUGGUUCAUAGUUAUCCCACAAUGUGUUGCUAUGAUUAGAGACGAAAGUAGGGAAGAACUCACUCUGUGCAAGCAGAGAAGUAAUAAAACUGCUUCCUGCUUCUGUCCACGCUGCAGGUUAAAUUACAGUCAGAAUAACCAGUGCUUGAUGUUUGGUAAUUAAGUCAAACUGUAACUGAAUUUGAAGGAGUUACUACUGGGGAAAUACAGGACAUAGGAGCAAUUCAAGUAGAGGUUGCACUUCUAAAACAGGUAAAGAAAAAGUGUGCAUAAACCUCACCUUUAAAAAAAAGUAUUAAAAUCUAUGACUUCACAUUCCAUGUGAAUGAAGGGGCAGGUUAUAAAUUCUAAAGAUAGACAGGUGUUGGGUCUGGCAUUCCAGUAUGAUAGUUGCAAAACUGUUGCCAACCCAUGCUACAAAAACUCAAGAAAUCUUUUAACAUUCUAAUUUUUUUUAUCACCCUUUUAGUUUAUUAGGGAUGUUAACCUUUUAAGCCAGCCUCCUUUUAUUAAAAUUUAAAAAACAAAUAUAGGCAGUUUGUUAUAGUGAUAUUAGGACUAUUAAAAUGCACUGUCCUUUUUUAGGUUCACAAAUGACACACACAAAAAAAUCGGUUUAACGAACAGGUGCAUGUUCCUCAUUAAAAAAAAUUAAUACAGAAAAGUAUGAAAAAAGUAUUUACUCCAUGAAAUGUAGAUUCUUAGUAUUUUGAGUGCACAUUAGACACUAAUACCUGCAAUUGUACCUGCAGCAGUGUAACAACAUCUUAAGAUCUUACAUAAGGUUUUCUCAAUACUCAGAUAUCCUGCUUGAGUGUGAGAUGUGCAAUGCCCUGCAAUCGUCAUGUACUGUAAGCAGAUACCAAGAGCAGAGAAUCAGAAGCUGGCAAAUGGUUACUUCGUUUAUGCUGUCGGGCUGGAAACAGCAACCAGAGAAUGGCACUUCAGCCUUUUUUGGAUCUCCUUCAGCACUGUACAGCUGUUAUGUCAGCCGGCGGGAAUUUUCAGCUACACAGGGGAGGGGAUGGAAAUACAGGUCAGUGCAGAAUCCAUAUAUAUAUAUAAGCGUGCAUGUGUGGAAAGCAAAGAACUUGCACGAGAAUUGAGACUUGCUUCACACAAAACACAAUCAUGAAAAAAUACUGCUUACUCCAUUACUACGGAGCUAGAAAGUUUGGACUGCCAUUCUGUCCUGGAGAGUCUUUUACUUCUAAUCCUUAAAAAAAAGAAGAAGAAAAAGAUUACAGUUGUCAUGAGCAUUCUGCAGCUGUUAUCUUGGUGAAUGAGAAAUAGCUCUCACAAGGAAUAGAUCAAAAUCAUCCUAGUAUAACUCCACUCACAUCAGCAGUAUUCCUACAGAGUUCAAUCUGGCUCAUAAAGGUUUUUUCUAAUGACGGAUCCCAUUUUCUUCAUGAUGUUCUAGGAACAGCCAUGAUAGUUCCACAGUGGUUUCAUAACACUAAUAUUAUAUAAUCUUACUUUCCACAAUCCCCCCCCCCGAAUCUAUAGGUCAUGAAUUAUUUUAUUUUAUUGACAUAAUAAAAUCAGAGAGUUGCAAUAAGCACAACAAAACUGGCUAAACCACAGAUUCAACAUAAAGUUCUCCAGUAAAACAAGUUGCCUCUUGAGUCCUUUGUUUAAAGGUUAGGCAAAGUUUAGUCAGUGUAUAGAAUGUCCUGCCUCAAAAAAGAGCUUGGUGAUCAACUAUGUCUCUGCCAAUUCUAUUGUUCUGUGCACCCCAGUCUCAAGAGACCCCAGGGAUUCCCAUACUUAUCCAGGAUUCAGAUUCCUUGCUAUGAAGGUCAGUGGAGACUGUGAUAUGUUUAUUAUAUAUGUUUCUAUAUACGCAGAUAUGCCACCUGAUCACAGGAUAGAGGGGCUCAAGGCAUUAGCACCCCAAUGGAUCUUGCUUCCCCAUUAGGGUUCCAGGAGAGCCCCCAAAAACAGAUGCUGGUCUUACAUGGGGCAGAGAUGUCUGUUUCUCCAGCUUCCAUCAUCACCCAAAACUCACAGACUCUUGGCUUAUUGUUCCCCAUCCUAGCUAAGUGAGGUGGGAAAAGGCCCAUCCAGUUGUCUCUAUGGCAUGCAUCUGAAACUGGUUCUCACUCUGUGGCCCUUAGCUUUAUUCUGAACAAAUUGGUUUAUGUGUGUUUCUUCAGGAAUUCCAUGUGCUUUUGGUACAUCUCUGACUCUUCAAAUUCUCCCUGUGAAUGUGGCUUAAGUAACAGUCAGAAAGUUAACUUUCUCUUGAGCCUGGCAUGCUGCCGACAUGAAUUAUGUGCACUCUCUUUAUAAGUCACACGAGUGUAGCAUACUACCAUUGUGGAAGCAUUUCCACGUGCAUACAUUUUAUACAGUUUCCACAGAGCUGUAGAACUGGACGCUCUUAAUUCUGGACCCAAUGCUGUGAUGAAAAAGAUGACAGUUUCUCCAACAACACUCACUGUACUUCUGGAAUUUUCAGCUGAAGCACAUAGGAUGCAUUGUUGACCGUAUGGAACAAUCUGCCUUUGUGUCGUUCAGUGGUGGGUUGCAGGGAUAUUCCAACCACAGAAAAAAAGAUACUAUCAGAAAUAUGGUAAUGCUAUGCUAUGCCUUUCAUCUCAAAAUAGAAUCUCAUACAUCUCAUGCAUAUCACACAAAAGAAAAUAAAAGUGACAUUUCAUGUCAAUCUAGGGGAGGGGGGGAGAAAUUCAAAGCACACCUUCAUAAACUUAUUUGAAUAAUGGGCAGCUAAUUUUUAAAUAAAGGGCAGCUGAAUUCGCACCCCAGUUAAGUCAAAAUAGUACAGCCAGUUAACCAGAUGCACCACUGGCAGAAAAGGAGAAAGGAUGAACAAGGCAGAAGCAGCGGCGGUGCUGAUUGUCGGGUGGAUUCAAGGCUAAAUAAGAGAAACAGCCAUACACAUGAAAAUAUGCAAUAUAUCCACUAUAGAGACCAUUAUUUUACCCAAAGCAUUUGUUUUAGCAAAAUCACACAAAGUAAUCUGUACUAGGGGUGGGGAACCUGCAGCCAGGGAUUCGUUUCGACACCUGAGGCCCUUCCCCUCAAACCAUGCUGUCCUGCCCCAGAAGUGAUGCCAUUUGUAACUAUGGGUGUGGGGCAAGUAGAGACGCACAAUUACUUCUGAGAAAGCAUGCAUAGGAUUGUGCUACAUGUAGCUUUAACAGUGACCAGCGGCCUGCUGAUCCCAGGUUCUCCCUUCCAGCAACCAGGCCCUUAAAAGACAACAGUUGGAUCCCCGCACCCAUUGCUUCCAUCUUGCUGAUUCUACUACACUUCAAAUGAAUCAACCAAAAAUGCUGGGGAGGUGAGCACGGCUGUCAAUGGGUCUUCAGAAAUGUAGUAAUGUAUGGUUGCCAUACAUCCAGAUUUUCCCGGACGUAUUCGGAAUACAGUACUGAAGUCGGCAGCAGUGUCCGGGUGGAAAUUGGAUGUAUGGCGGAACUAAAAAUAGCUCAACAACUUUGCCCCAGCCCCCCCAAAAAAGCUUCAGCCUUAAAGUUACGUCUAGACACUUGGUGUUCCAGUAUUCGUUUUUACUGCAGGACAUUGUAAUAAUUUAGCUGCCACACUACCUAAAUUUAGAUCCUUAAAUCUUACUGCUCUGGGACUCAGACCAAAAAGCCCCACAGUACAUUGUGCAAGAGAUAAGAAGAGAACUUUGUUGCUUCCCUUGGCCUGUUCUAUCUGUGUGGUGCAGUGAAUUGGGUACAACCAGUUAUUCCAUGCAGGGAGUUGAGGAGCAACUGGCAGAGUUAGAGGUCUGGAACAGAGGUUCAUAAGACCGUGGCAUUACAUCAUGCUCUGGUUCCCAAUUGGUGGUCCACAGGCCCCCAGGGGGUCUACAUAACCCACCCGUGUGGUCCAUGGCACCAUUCACAUAACAAUAAACUACCACAGAGAUAUCAAAAUUGUGGGGGGCCAUGGUUUGGCUUUUGAAAAACGGAGUCUGCAGUUCUUGGCUAAUUGGGAAUCGCUGCUCUAGAGGUUGCCAGGGUGGACAUUUGCCAAUAGGGUGAUCUAUUACCCAAAAAAAGGAGGAGGAAAUGCAUCAUAAUGCCAAUUUAUGUGUAUACAUGAAAAUUUAGAAAUAUGUUUUACUAAUUGUUUAGGUUCAUUUAUUACAGCGCUCUUAAUUUAGAAAGCCCCAGAGUAGUCAAUUACUAUGGUAUAGUGGAGCAAGCUGUUCUGAGGUAACUGCUGUUCGGGUGCUAAUUGCUGAUGAGUCGCUGUAAGGGUCCUGCCCUCCUUGCUUAUGGUUCUUCACCUUUAAACUGGGCUUUGAAAAUGCAUCUCUUCAAGAAGGAGGCAACUCCAAACAGAGCAGAUGCAGGGAACCUUAGGCCCAGUGGUUGAAUGAAGCCCUCCAGACUUUUCUAGCUGGCCCUCAAAACUCUCCUCAGGCCACACACCUCAUCUCCUCUGAGCACACCCCUCACUCGCCCUGCUUUGAGCCCCAAGUGUCUUGGUCUGACUGGAAUGUGCCCCUGGACUCUGAAAACACCUUUUGCUUAUCUGAAGGAAGGACAUAGAGGUUUGUGUGUAGAAACUAGCCUACAGUAGAAAAGAAAAAUGUACCUUUGCCUCUGGCCCCAACCAACACUGGCACAUGUAACUCUCAGAAGGUUUCCCAAAAGGGAACAUGGCACUUGGGAUACAAAAGGUGUCCCAUCCCUGAAACAGGAGGACCGUCCUGCGUAAAGGAGGACACAUGGCCACCCUAUUUAUCAACGCCCCAUCAUUCGAGAAGUGAUACUAUUUUGCAAAGCAUAACAAAGGAGAUCAGAUGCAGCCUCAGGGAAUUAUCAGUUCACAUGGCUUUAUUUUUCCAGGUUAGGGGGCUCGACUGAGGCUGCCACAACAUGAGAGCCCUCAAAUCCUAGAGCCAGUGUUGCCUGCCAUACACACCAAUAAAUGAUCUACAAUUACAAGAAAGCUAAACAGUGUGCUGUUACGAGUUACAGUCCACUUUCCAAGUACGGCAUGCUAAUUCCAGACAGAGUUAGUAACUAUCUUAUACAGAGAGAGAGGGUGUUUCUUUCUUUCUUUUUCUUUUUCCAAAUGCAAAGGGCACCACAUGGCUCCUCUCCUGAAAGUCCAUGCCAGGAAAGUCAUCCAUCAGGAUAUUCUGAAUUCAACAACUUCUGUUACACUUUACCCCAUUGACCUGAUAACUGUGCCAAAUAAGGUGAAAGGGCAGCAGGCCAGGGGUGAGGAAGAGGCAAGGAACUUUUGGUAGUUCGUGCUGAUGGCAACAAUCCAAGCACAUGCUACUAUCUGCUAUGCUACUAUCUACUGUGCUUGUGAAAGCUGCAAGAGUACAGCAAAAAGAUUUUUGCAAAGAGUUUUGCAGAAUGCUCACAUUACAGGGAGGACAGAAGGAAUUAACCACCUCACCUUUUGUUGCAGACUGGCUCAGCCUCCUGUUAGCUGUUAGAAGACAACACAAGGAGGGGGGCACAAUUUGACUAAAACCAGAGGGAGCCAUAACCCCGACACUUCCUCUAGAACCCAAGCCCAAUUUUUGGCAUUUACUUCACUAAAUUCAGUGUGCAUUUUAUCUCAUCUCUGGAAAUCUGAAGCAAUAUUAGAAGGAAACUUAGCUACCACCAGGCAGGAGAAAGUGAAAGAUCGUAAGCUAUUUCAAAAUAGUUUGCAACCUCUGUGAGUUCCUUGCCUUAGACAGGGGCCCACGUCUCCAGUCUCCCACUUCCUCCUUUUCAGUCAAAUGCCCUUUGCCUUUCUUUCCCUUCAUUAUGACCCUUCCCAUCAUAAAAUUAGUCAGUUGCAAAGUCAGACUUGUAGCAUAAUGCUGCAGUGUGGAGUGUUCCUGAUCAGGAUGCUGCCUUCCAUAUUCCUUCCCGCCCAGUUUUCUGCCCAUCUUCUCCUAUCCCCCGCCCCGCAAUAAUCAGUCAGCAUCCCAUGGCCGCUGUGCGUACUCAGAUUUCAUCAUGGCAUUUUGGGGUACCCCAGUUUAGGAAUUUCAACCUAAAGAUUAUACUUCUGCAAUUUUUUGGGUUCUCCUAGCUUGCUGAUAUCUAUUGCAUGAACGCUGCUACAUACCGUAAGUACCAAUAUUUGGAGAAGUGAGAUCACUAUUAAUAUAUAUGAUUUACAGAAUUGUUAUCCUGCUCUUCAAAUAAAUUCCCAGGGCAGAUUAUGAAGAUAUCAUAGAAACAUAAAAAGACUCCAGAAGUGGUAAAAGACUGUUUUCCAUCCAACUGUUGCUGAGCAACAGCAUGUGCUCCCUUUCUUGUAGAAUUAGCAAAACGGCAGAUGAAGGAAUACAGACACAACUGAAGCCGGACUGGAGGGGUGGAAGACAGCGAACUCCAUGCAAAAUGCCCUGAAUUGGCAGGCUGUGGAAUAUUUGUGUAAAAUGAACGUUUUCCCUCCAUGGGCACUUCCAGACUGUCACUAUUUUUGAGUCAGAUCCAAUCGCAUACCAGAAAAUUCAGGUUGCACAAUUAAUGCUGAUUUGCAGCUCUUGCGCAACAAAUCCCAAAAGAUUAGGCUUUUUUGCCACAAGGAAAGUGAUGAGGAAAUCAGAAGUGUGGAAGAACCUUUGCUUUGAUACAUCGUGGAGCCAACACCAUCUAAUCUCCAUGCAAACAAAUUAGGAUGAAUGCUCAAUAAGCAGGUCAUCUGGAAGUGUCCUAUAUUGCCACAAAGACCUUUAUGGGGUGGCUUUUUAAUUUUAAUAUGCAGAUUCUAAUUUUUAUAGGCAGAAAUAAGAAGCAGCAUCAAAAGCAAGCAGCAAUAUAGAUCUAUGGAGACUGGAGCUGGACGAUAAUUUUUUUGGAAGUUGAAAGUGGUCUGAGAGAACGGUCACUUUCCAUAGAGUGCAUGCACAUCAUGAAGAAGAAGAAGAAGAGUUUGGAUUUGAUAUCCCACUUUAUCACUACCCUAAAGAGUCUCAAAGCGGCUAACAAUCUCCUUUGCCUUCCUCCCCCACAACAAACACUCUGUGAGGUGAGUGGGGCUGAGAGACUUAAAAGAAGUGUGACUGGCCUAAGGUCACCCAGCAGCUGCAUAUAGAGGAGCGGAGACACGAACCCGGUUCACCAGAUUACGAGUCUACCGCUCUUGACCACUAUACCACAUAGGUGUACACUACACUGAGGAUGGGCUAUAGCUCAGUGGUUGAGUACAUGGUUUUCAUGCAGAAGCUCCCAGGUUCAGUCCUUGGCAUCUCCAUCAGAUGAUAGGAAGGAUCUCUGUCUGAGACCCCAGAGAGCCACCACCACUUAGAGUGGACAAUAAUGGGCUAGAUGGACAAAUCAUAGAAUCGUAAAGUUGGAAGGGUCCGGAGGAUCAUCUAGUCCAGGCAUGGCCAAACUUGGUCCUCCAGAUGUUUUGGGACUACAACUCCCAUCAUCCCUAGCUAACAGUGGUCAGGGAUGAUGGGAAUUGUAGUACCAAAACAUCUGGAGGGCCAAGUUUGACCAUGCCUGAUCCUAGUCCAACCCCCUGCAAUGCAGGAAUCUCAGCCAUCCGAUCUCUGCUUACAAACCUCCAAGGAAGGAGAGCCCACAACCUCCCGAGGGAGACUGUUCCAACAGCUCUUAUCAAAAAUCAACAAUAUGAGGCAGCUUCAUGUGUUGUUUUGGCCCACGUUGGGAGGUUUUUGGAAAAAUAAGAAGCAUGCGACAUCUGUUUGCUAGAGGCACAAGUGGGCAAAAUGUUUGCAUCCUUCCUCCUUCAAGUUCCCUUCUAUCUGGAAAACUAUCACUUAUGUUCCACUGCUCUGUUUGAAUCAGUGGCUCACCAGAAUAGAGAUAUAUUACUAGAACUAGAAUUUGCCUAGUCAUUUGCCAAAGGAUCAAGUAACACCAGCAUAACUGUCAUCAUACAUAUAUAUAUAUUCACAGCAGCAUCACUCAACGCUGAACUUAAAUGGUCCAGGUUGCUAGCAAAACAAAACUAGUAACUCAAUCUGGCAUCCCAUGGAGUCAAGGGAGUGUUUGGCACUGAUUGUGGCAUGGCAAGUUGAAAUCUUCAGUUAUGGGAGAGGGCUGUGUGUGGCUCAGUGGUAGAGCAUCUGCUUUGGAGGCCAAAGUCUAAGUUUCAAUCUUUGGCAUGUUCAGGUGGGGCUGGGAGAGAUCCCUGCCUGAAAUCCUGCAGUCAGUGAAACAAUACUGAGCUAGAUCUACCAAUGGACUGACUCAGUUUAAGGCAGCUUCUAUGAAAUUCUGCUGAAAUAAUGCAAAGUAGAAGCUUGAUCUUAACACUGGGUAGUUUGAAGCAAUGGAUGCCUUCCAGAUCCUUAGGCACACCUUCAAAGAGCCAUACAGUGGAGCCAGCUCAAUCGCAAAACACUUGACACUGUUUUUAUAACUGUUGAAGUUAAUGGAAGAGCAUAGCCCACUUUUCACAUCUAAUUAAACUAUUCUGGGAGAGACUGCAAGUUUCCAUGAUAUCUGUUUGCUAAAAUUACAUGCAGAUGGUGCCGUGCACUUGUAUAAACUUGUGCCUAGGGACAAUUUGUAAGCCUUUAAGAUCACAGAGUCAGUUUUUGAUAUAAAACCAUCAUUAGAAACACAAUAAGCUAUCGUUUCUUUUACACUUCAGUGGAAUAAACUGUUGGCAAAAGGAAGUAAACAUGCCCUGGAAAAGCUGUCAGUGUAUAUAACUAGAAAGAUUCUCUACUUUCCCCUCUCUGGCCCCUGCCCCACCUCUCUCCAAAGAUGUUAUUAGAAACAUCACCAAGUUUUAUUUAUUACUGAGGUUUAUAUAUAAUAUUGAUGCCUAACAAGGGAGGCUUAUAAAGUGUGGUGUAAUUCAUAAAACUAUUUACAAGCUGUUUGUUUUCAUAUGACCUUCGAUAAAUAUAGUUAUGUUUAAAGGUGUUUUUUAAAAAACACACACACCGAAUUACUGCAGAGUGUUUGAUAUGAAAACACAAGCUUGAAAUAUGCUUUUGCUCUGCCAUGAAUGGAUGUUUGAAUGAAACAGUGUAGAGCUUAUUACUAUUGUAUAGCGAACAUCUCUAAAUAUGUCUCUUUAUGGCAGCCUAAGUAUGGCGCUUUGGAAAGCAAAUGCUACUCCCAAGAAUUUAGGCCUGUUGGUGUCCAAACGUUCCUAGACUCCAGCUCCCAUCAUUCCAGGCCAUUGGCCAUGCUGACUGGGGCCAAGGGAAAUUUGAGUCCAACAACAUCUGGAAGUCCACAAAUUCUCCAACUCUGAUUUAGGCACAUAUCUCUUGAAGUUGGCAUGGUGGCUAAAUGGUUCUCCUAUGAGUUCCAGUCCACUUUAAACCCAUUAUUAGCACUUCAUUGUUGUGACACUUAUUAUAGGUCUCAGAAAUGAUGUGAAAAGUUAGAUUUCCUUAGAGUUUAUGUUGGUUGUAUACUACUGGUCUGAGAGUAAAUUCUUCUACCCAUCUUCAAAUGCAUCAACAACUCUGCCAGGCUUGCAACAUGGACAAGAAUAUGCCUUGGCAACAUUUGAGACAGUGAUUUGGAUGGCUGUAAUUCUCUAUGUGGUGAUACUUCCGCUAAAAUGAUAGCAGUGAGUCAUUUCCUUCAUUUCCCUCCCCUACUGUGUUUUUAAAACAGGCAGCAUAAGCCUGAAAUAUUUUUAUGACACUUGACAUGGCACUCAAGCAUCCUCCCUGCUCACUGGCAUCCCAGGUCCUAAAUACUUGAUUUUAGUGGAGAUACCUUCCAAGCCAAUGUGCUGAAGAUUGUAGCUACAGCCUGAGGUAAAUUUUAUUGAAUUCUCUUAUAAUGGCAAUAGGAUUAGGAACAUGGAUCAGGAGAUUUGUCAGAUUUGUUUUCUCUUAAUUUCUCAUUUCCCAAUCUUAUCUUCAGUUUAUUACAUUUACAUAUCAAUUUGCUUAAAAAAAAAGAAGUCUGCAUCAAAAUUCAUCAGCAAAUUUAUCAUAAUACACACAUAUUUGCAUGAAAAAUUUGCCUAAUAUACACAUUUUUGCAAAGUGAUUUUGCCUAAUACAAAAUCCAGAGAAACGUGAAUUUUGAAAGAUGAUUAUGUUUCAUUUUGCAUACUGUUUCAAGAAGUGUGAACUAGGUAGGGAAACUGAGUUCCUCCUCAUCUCUAACUAGGGUGGGUAGCGGGAGCCAACAUUCCUGCAAGAUCAGGGGCUUCUGUCUCACUUCUUUCAUUUCAGAAUGAGCUGUAGGUAAAUAAUUGCUGGGUUAUGCCUGCUGAACAGAGUUCAUAGCUUCAUAUGAAUGCAAUGACAGCUGCAUAACCCAAUUUAGCCAGCAAGGGUGCAUGACUGAAAGACAUUAAAAGCAUUUACUUGCUUAAACAGAGGAUGUUGCCACAGGAUUAUAACCUGGAAAUGGCAGUCUCCGAAUCUUGUUUGUGCAAGGAGGUCUUUGGAACAAAAAAACACAGAGUUAACUAAAUGAGUCUGUGGUGGCCUCAUGAACCCAAGUUUCCUAUAUUCUGUAUUCUGUUCACUGGCUUUGGUUUAGAAACAACCACCAUCUCAUAAUCCAGUCCUGUCUCAGAUUUCACUAGCUGAGGUGUUUGUUUUGUUUUAACUUACUGAUUCAGAACUAAUUUGGUGGGACUGUAUCAUUCAGCUUCUAGUGCGAAAGGUCACGGUGGUAAAUAUAUCUGAGAUCAAGCAUAUAUACCGAGAAGAGACACUGAACAUAUUUCCCUACAUGUAAAAAGAGAGCAAGCCCAAGAGGGAAACAUGUUUUGCAGAAUGAGUUGAUCAAUUAUAAACAAGAUUUAAACGUUAAUAUCUGGGUCAGAAGCAUGGUAAAGGUGUGAAUCAGGAACAGCCCAGUUCAGAAGACAGUUUUACCAAGUUACUUGAAUUUAGUUCCACUGAAGUCAGUCGCAUUAAGCUGGGGCCUACCUUGACACACCACAGAUUGAACCCUCAGAGGGUGACCCUGGCUCGAUGCCGUGUCCUCGCCUCUGCUGCCCUUGAAGGGCGCUAUAGAAAAAUCUCAUAUUUGGAGAGAUGCUGUCCCUGUGGCUCUGGCCAAAUUGAAACUGUAGAACACAUGCUCCCCACCCCCACCCCCACUGUUUGUUUUAUAGAGAUUUAAGUUCUGCCCUUAUUCUACCAAUACUCCAGAAAUAUACUGGAAGUUCUGAACAGUUCCUUGCCACUCUGUUGCUCCUAGAUAAUAAUCCUGGUAUAACAUACAAGGUGGUCAAUUUUUGUUCAGCAGCAAUUAAAAUAUGACAUACAGUGGUACCUUGGGUCCGUUCUUAACCUGAAACUGUUCUCAACCUGAAGCACCACUUUAGCUAAUGGGGCCUCCUGCUGCCGCCGCACCACUGGAGCACGAUUUCUGUUCUCAUCCUGAAGCAAAGUUCUUAAACUGAGGUACUAUUUCUGAGUUAGCGGAGUCUGUAACCUGAAGCGUAUGUAACCCGCGUUACCACUGUACAGUGACUGGCACUCAGGAUUAGUAUAACAUGGACAUUCCUAUUUCAGAACGGUUUUCUUUCUGACAGAUAAAUGACCACCUAGAACUGCUUUUCUAUGGACAUGUGAUUUUACAUGAUUUUAUUUUGCUCUGAGCUUUUAAAUUUUGUGAUUGGUGUUUUCGUCUUGAUAUUGGCCAUUGACCGUAAUAAAACAACUUGACUUGACCUGCAGGGAUUGAAGCUUUGGCACGAAAGCAAACGCUUGACCACUGAGCUAGAGCCCUUGCCCAUUGUAUCACUGCCUCUGGGAAGUCUACAAAUAGGGCAUUAAAGCAAUAACCCUCUUCUAUUAUCAGAACCGUUUCAACCUCUUAUCGAAUAAAUGUAUGUUAUAUUGACCACAUUUUUAAUUUAAAAGAAAUAGGGUUCCGAUAAAAAGGAUCAGCAGGAAGCCCAUUUGAAAUGGCACCUGUGCUUUCCACAGCAAGCUGUUUGUGUGAAUGGGUCACCAAGCAUAUUGGUACCCAAUGAAUUUUUCUCUAUGCUGUGAAAUAGAGACUCCUUGUUUGUGACACUGAAGUAGAUCUAGAAUUUGAAACAGGAAAACAGAUCCAAGAGCAAGGAGGCACAACCCAUAAAAUGUAUGUCCCUUUUGGAAUUUAGUUAGAUGUCUUGUCCCAAAUCAGACCAUUGGUCCACCGAGUUCAACACAGUUCUGGCAGCAGGUCUCCAGGAUUCCAGAGAGGUAUCUUCUCCAACCUUAUGGAGGUGACCAAGAUUUAAACUGUGUCUGUGUCUAUCCACUGGGCUAUGGCCCUUGCCGGUUGCUUUGGCUAUUUCCCAUGUCAAGGCGGGAGUUGGGAGCAAGUCAGCAAUAACUGACAAGGUGUCUGUGAAGUUAACUCUUUGUUCAAAGAAACAAAACAACUCAGAAACAAAACAACUAGUGAUCCCCUCAAUGCUUCCCAGUAGGUCUUUGCCCCAAUGAGGCAGUUGUGAGGACUGAAGGUCCCCGCCUUCCACUUCUCUCUAAGGCUCCUUAUCCCGAAGGUCCUUCCCCAGCAACCAGAGGCUCCUUCACCUUGUCUCUCUUUGUUCCACCCUCUUCAUUCCUCUUGUUCUGGGAGACCCUGGGGAGAGCUGGUUUCCAGAGGAGGGAGAGACUCCCUGCUUCUACAGCAGCCUGCCUCAACUCUGCAUCUUAGCCCCCCUCCUCACAAGCCUCCUCUUCUGUUUCUGAUUCUGGACUGCUCUCUGCCAUAGCCUCUUCCUGCUCACUAAACACUGUUACCUUUUCAACUUCCAGUGACUCCUUCUCCCAUUCUUCUUCUUCCUCUGACCACUCAGCAUCAUCCCACCACCAGUUCCCUGGCUCUGAACCUUGUUCCCUAGCUGGUGCCUCCUGCCACUCCUCUGCAUUCAGCCAGUUCAUGACACCCUUCCAUCUUAUCACACUUGGACCCAUUUUGAGCAAUAGCAUUGUUUGUCACAAAUCUGCUCUGCCGUCUCUCCUUAAUGGAUGCUUCCACAGUGGCCUCCUUUGUAAUCCAGGCCAUGCCAGUGCCCAAACUAUAGGCCUGAGCUCACAACAUUUUUCAAGAAGCUGUGAACGGAAUUCCAGUACUUCCAGAUCAUCGUUCUUUCAGUCCCAAUUUAUGUAAUGGAAUUACAUAGCCCUUGCUAAUUCAGAUGAAGUUCAUUCAGCAGGCCAUAUUAUGUAUGGCGUAAUGUAACUGUGAUUAUGCCCAGAAACACACUGCAAUUUUGUAAUGGGCAGUUAUUGGCAGAACAAAUCUAUUAGCAGUCUUUUCCACAGCUGCAAACAGGCCUUUGUGUGUUUUUUUUGUGUUGUUUUUUUUUUGCUAGUAAUCAAAAUGCAGAAUUCAUUUCUAUUUUGAUUUUUAUAUCUCUCUCUCUUUCUCAAAGGCUGAAAUACUCAGCCUUCUAGGAAUUAAGAUUAGGAGAAAGCUACCUUCUCAGUUCUUUAACUCGUGCUUCUCUAUAGAUAUAUAGCCAUAUGGCAUAGAUUCAUUUGGCUCAUAACAGAACAGCUGCCUAAGUGCCAAAAAGAUCAUGAUUUCUUAAGUAAAAAUGGCACUCAUAAAUGUUUGUGGAGGACUGGAAUGCUACAGUUGAUGCCUGAUAUUCGCCGCUACACUGUUAUCUAAGAACUCUAACAUUUGGGAAUUCGAAAGGGUCUGACGCAGUAUGUGCUACAAAGCUAUACACAGAUCCCCUUUGUGCUAAGGCUUUGCCAUUUGUUUUUCAUCUCUGUAAUGGUAUCCACAGGAUCAAUAGCAAAAACUAAGAGAUGUUCAUCUCAGAAAUUAUCAUGUGUCCUUUUGAUGCAAAGACGACUGUAAGAUGCCAUCUUAGCCUAUCAAAUAUUAAGUCUGAGCUAGGACCAGAGUCUUCCAUUUCAAGCAUUACUUUUUGACCAGUAAUGGCUUGGGCUGCCGUUUGGCUGGUUUUAAACCAACUUACCCAUAUUUAUUGCUGGGUUUAUCAUCUUCCCAUUUAUUUCUGCCCUGCUCGACUUCAGAACUGAUCAGUAAGACAGAACAACUGUGUUAGUACUGACUAGGGCUUAAGCUUAGACAACUUUUAAGCUUAAAACAAGACCAGGGAGGGUAGAAUAUUUCAUCUCAAAAGCUACCUUAGCACAAGAAGAUCUCCUGCAGUUUCAUCCUUCUUUGAUACUUGCUAUGGGAGGCUUAACUUAAUAUGCACCUUCAGAUGAUCUGAGAGUAGAUUUGAGUAGCUUAAUUGCAUACACCUUCUGCCGGGCUAAUUAAUGGAAGUUACCAACAUCCCCUCCUUUCCAUUGUAAAAUGGUCACUUGAUGAAAAGAUUGGCCAGCGUGUUCUUGACAAAUGCGAAGUGACAUUUUGCCAAUGUCUUUUGUAGACCCGUAUAAAAGAAUCAGUUCUUCAAAAAAAAAAAAAAACUCCUCCCCACCGGGGCGAAGCGAAAAAGACAAUACUCAUCCUUAAAGCGGGGUUGAGCUAAAUAAGUGGUUCACACAUCUUGAUCACAAGAGAUGAAAGAGGAUGACUCUCAGCUCAUUGUAUAUUUGAUCACAGACAAGGAAUCUUCCAGAUCAAAGGGGAGCAUAAUAAUGGAGCCUAACGAAGGGAACUUGAUCCAAACACAACUUUAAAGGGUUAGACAUCGACAGAUGGAAAUCUUCCACAUUAAAGUAUACUUACAAGAAUAAAAGGUCUUGGUACAUAUUAUGUCCCUUAACACACAGUUGAGAGAGAGAAAAUAGAUCAUCAGCCAAUAGAAAAUCCUGGAAUUCAUCAAAUGCUUUAGGAUGAAUGGACUUAAAUGCAGGAAGACCACUCUGGCCUUUUCUACAAGCAGACAAUACCUUGGAAAGGGGCAAGACUAUAAACGUGGUGGUGACCUGAAUAAAAGCUCCAGUAAUUUCCACAUAUCAGCAGGAUAGGAAAUGAGUCUGAUGGUCUUAAUCCAAUUCCCAGUGUACUGGACUCCACAGCAUCAAACUUAUCCACUACAAUUAGCACUAAUUGGCAACUUUUUGGCAGUCUCUUGAGAAAGGCCGAGGCCUGAGUGAGUCAGGAGACCCAGUCCUUCCUUCAUUUAUGCUAAGACAUCAUCUCUUUGCAUGGGAGUGAGACAGAUUGUGGGGCAACUCUGUGGAAGGUUUACACUGCUCCAUUCUAACUGAUUCUUUUGUCUUGGGUGAGAAAGGUGUUUUAGGGGUGUCAUGGUGACACCUUGCAUAACUUGGAGGUAACACUUUAGACAAAUGUUAAGAGAACGCAUGAAGGAGAUGCAAUUGCUUUAAACACGAAACAAACAAAAAAAUCGACAAAACCGAAUCAACCCCACUUUUUUUAAUUCAGUGUAUUGUCCAGAGCAGCACACACUGAAUUUUUAAAAAGUUUGCACAGAAAAAAACCAUAUAUUUCCUCAGGCCUACUUUAAAAAAACACACAAAAACUUUCUCCAGAAUGAAAGCGUUUCCAUCAUUUUCUCCUCCAAAAAAGCAGCUAAUGGGAUGAUAGUUAAUGCAAGAGAUCAUUUCUUCCAAUAAUGCUAUACAGUAAGCCCACAACUUACAUUAAUUUAAUUUGUGCAGGUUCAGCUUUACACACUUGGCAAUUAAAUAUAUAUAUAUAUUUCUAAAGGGUUGGAAAGGGGCUGGGCAUCCAGGGAAAAAGACUCUGGCAAUCCUAUCCACCAUUGCACCCAAUGUGUUUUGACUACGGUAUAUGCGAUUUGGCUUUAUGUAAAAAGAAUGUAACCUGCAGAAGGUGAGGGCUUGCUGUGCAGAGGUACCUCGGGUUACAUACGCUUCAGAUUACAUACGCUUCAGGUUACAGACUCCGCUAACCCAGAAAUAUUACCUCGGGUUAAGAACUUUGCUUCAGGAUGAGAACAGAAAUCGUGCUCUGGCGGUGCGGCGGCAGAGGGAAGCCCCAUUAGCUAAAGUGGUGCUUCAGGUUAAGAACAAUUUCAGGUUAAGAACGGACCUCCAGAACAAAUUAAGUACUUAACCUGAGGCACCACUGUAUUGCCAAAUGACAGCCAUAAUAACACACUGAUAAAGAUGGGCUUCACAUCAACUGUCACCUUUACAGUUUGUGUAAAUGGCCGUAGGAAGCAAGCCAUGUGCAUGUUUCUUCUAUACAUGGGGCUAACACCCAUGGAUGAUGGAGUCAGGAGGGUGGAGUCCCCACUCGUGAUAUUGUGUGCUUUUCCAACCCUGCCCUUAAUAGCCACACAUAAAGCAUAUAUAUUUUGCACAACAGAAUAGAUGCUCAGUUACAAAAUGCAUGUCGGUUGCAUCAAUACUGAGAGCACCUCCCUCAUUUAAGUCAGCAUCAAUCUAUCAAAGUAGCUUCUGGAGGGUUGACCAGUUCCAGAUCCACCCCUCCACUGUUCUAAAUGAAUUGAGUUUCAAGAUUUGAAACAUCUUCGGACAUAGUCUCUAACUUUCAUUGGAGUGCGGGGACAUGAAAGAGAUAUUUGAUAACAUUCCAGGGAAAUGGGAGGUUUGGCACAAUUAAAUCAAGCUCACACUAGAUAACACAUGUGAGCAGAUGGACUCGGAUGACAGCUUAUUGGAACAAAAUAAGUACACAGUAACUGCUAGUUCAUAAUAGCACUGCAGAUAAAAAAAUGUUUGCAAUAUUUCCCAUGCUUUCCCCCCACUUAAGUUGCAAAUUAAGAGUCUAGUCACAAUUUGUACCCUCUGAGGUAUUUUUAAUAGGCUGUAUGAUGAGACGGCUAAAUUACCGAAACAAAGUUGAAAUAACCAUCUCCCUUUGAGGAAGAAGGUUUUGCUUGCCAUUUAGGUCCACUUCAUUCUAAUGGUUGAAGCAAACUGGGGGGAUCUCCAACUAUGUCAUACUCAGAGUACAGACGCUUCAGGUUACAGACGCUUCAGGUUACAGAUUCCGCUAACCCAGAAAUAGUACCUCGGGUUAAGAACUUUGCUUCAGGCCCUUCCGGAGGCGGCGCCAUCGGCAAUGGCGGAUUCCCUCUAGUCUUGAGGGAGUAGCUCCGCGGAAAUCGGGUCUUGCCGCUACGGCAAAGCGGGGACCCCUUCGAAAACCACAGGCGGGUUAAGCCUGUGACCGUGGAACUCGGCGGGCACCCUUAGCGCCCCCCCAAUCUGCGAGGGAACCCUGUAAAGAGUUCCGGAGCGAAACGGGGAGUCUGGCGCGGUGCUGAGAGUCAACUGCUUCUUCCGUGGAGUGAAGCCGCGCAGCUGUUGCCGGAGAGCGCUGACCUUUUUCCUGUGACAAUUCGGCUAAUAAACAACUACCCGUGAGUAGGUUAAGUUUGAAGAUUGGGAAAUUUAAGGAAAAAAGGACUAAUUUGGCACUGAAGCGGGAAGGCGUAAACAGGAAGUCCGCCUUCCAUUUUCUGUAAAUAGAUCAAAGCGAAGACUGUCUAAGCUAAGACCCUGAAAAUCGUGUUGAAAAAGACUCAAAUCUUAACAUCAAUUAAAAGAGAACUCCCUCCCUGAGGUGCGGGAGAGGGGAGAGAGAAGGGGAAGUAUCUUUUGCCGGCAAAAAAAGAAGAGAGAAAGGGAACAAAGACCAUCACUUAAUGCCUGGGAACGGACUGUCAAGGGACAAUGGAACUGCCGUAUUGUGAAUCGCGCUGUUAAAGGAUAAUGCAACUUUUUGACAGCUAACCCUGUAAGAGAGAUACUUUGACUCUGAAGGGUCUCUCCGGACCUGAAAUUGUUGCUUUUCUUGGUUAAAGGGGGGAUUUCUGAAAGCUGGAAAAGUUACUUUAUUGUUACAAGUCUGGACUGCUACUGUGUCCCCCUAGAGGAACUUUGAAAUUGCUACAAUUGGCCAGGGAAUUUCCCACUCCAAACUGGCCAAGGGGAAUUUUCCACUACAAAACAAGUAACCGUGGGAUUGACCUUGAUCCUUAGAUAAAGUGUUAUGGCAGACUCGACUCAGGAAAAAACAACAAGAUCGGGUAAAAUUAGACUGCAGCAGCAUAGACCGUCAGCAUCCGGCCUCCCUGCCCCACCAGGGGAAGAUCCAGCUCAGGUGGCGCCUAAAGGAAUGGCAUCUGAAGGGGGUUUAGCUUCAGCACUAGAUAAAAUUUUUGAAUCUUUGGAAAAAUUAAGCAAACAAGUUGCUGAAGCGACAACUAAAAUUGAUCAAAACACGUCAAGCAUCAAUAACUUGGGGCAGAAGGUGAACUCAAAUACAGAAUCUAUUGAGAAACUGCUGCAGGAAUCUACUUUGAACCGAAAAACAGCUGAAGAAGCCAAGGAAAAAGCAUUGGCUGUAGAGGAAAAGAUACCACCGAUAUGUAGGCAGCUUGAGGACCACAAGUCAUUGCUGUCUAUGAUUGAAUUAAAUGAAAAACAGAUAAAUCUAAGGAUCAGGGCUGUACCUGAACUUGAGAAAGAUAGUUUGAUUGACUUCUUACGCAGGAAUUCGCAGACUUUUGGAACUUAGACUCAGACAAGUUAGAUUUUAGACUUGGAAGAGGGGGGAGAAAGAACAGGGUGAGAGACUGUUUGAUUACCCUCCGAUCAAGAGAGGAGAGAGACAGAAUAUUAAGUCUGCACUUCCAGAAGACCUUGGAAAUAAGUGAAUCAAGAGUGGAGAUAUUUAAGGACAUCCCUAAACAUCUUUUGGAUCUCAGGUCCAACUACGGAGAUCUAGUGGCCCUGUUAAGAGGAAACAGAACCAUUUUUAGGUGGGAAUUCCCCCAAGGCCUAUCUUUUACCUUUAAAGGGAAAAAGUUUAAAAUAAGAUCAGUGGAAGAUAAAGAAAAAUUUCUGAAAGAACACGGAGAAGACCUGCAAAAAGAAGCUGAAGAAGAGCCAAGAGCCUUAAAACCAGGAGUACAAGACAUAGUACCACUACCUUUGGGAUUGGACAAGUUAGAGAAGGUGAUACUACCGACAGAACAAGAACAAUUACUUGGCGCAGUUGGAGGAAAAGCAAAAUAAAUACACCAUGUCCCUGCAACUAUUAAGUUGGAAUAUUCAUGGAUUUAACUCCCCGGAGAAAAGGAAAAAAGUCUUUCAUUUAUUGAAAAAGGAACAACUGGACUUGAUUUGCUUGCACGAAACACAUGUGAUAAGGCUUCAUAGGAAAGUAUUGAUUAAUAAAAGAUCGGGUCAAGAGUUUAUUUCAUCGGACAAGGUUAAAAAGAGAGGAGUAGUAAUUUACGCGAAAGAGAGCCUAUCACCGAAAUUUAUUUUUAAAGAUGACCAAGGAAGAUAUGUGGCAAUUGAAAUCCAAACACAAGGAGAAAAUUUUUUGAUAGUAGGAGUAUAUGCACCAAAUGAGGGGAAAUCUGAAUUUUUUAAGAAGUUGCAUGAGACAUUGUUAGACUAUAUGGAUUACAACAUUAUCAUGAUGGGAGAUAUGAAUGGAGUGGUAUCUACAAACAUGGACAAGUCGCAGAGACAGGUAGUUACUAAAGAUGGCAGACUACCAAAAACCUUUUUUGAGAUGACUGACAAUAUGGACUUGAUUGACAUUUGGAGAAUAAAGAAUCCCUUGGGCAGAGAGGGAACCUUCUUCUCUGAAGCCAAAAUGACAUGGACAAGAAUUGACCAAAUCUGGAUAACUAGAGGACUGGCACCUAAGACUCGAAAAGUGGAAAUUUGCCCUAAAACUUGCUCCGACCAUAAUGCUGUGAAAAUGGAGAUGAAAUUAACACCUACCGGUUCCUUCAGAUGGAGGAUGAAUGACACCUUGUUUAGAGAUCAAGAAGUUACCAAGAAGGCCCAAAAAACCUUGAGAGACUAUUUUGAGAUAAAUAUGAACACUACCAUCGAAAAAAGAGUAAUCUGGGAUGCAAGCAAAGCAGUUAUGAGGGGGUUUCUAAUUCAACAGAAUGUAAUAAAGAAGAGAACUCAAAAUGAGAAAAAAGAUAAAAUUUUGGAAAAAAUAAAAGAGGGUGAGAAGAAACUGAGAGCGAAACCAAAGUCACAAGAGAUUCUGAGAGAAAUAAAGUUAUACCAAGUUCAAUAUAUGAAGAUGAUGAAUCAGGAAAUAGAAUGGAAAAUUAAACAGAUGAGACAAAGGACAUUUGAAUCGGCCAAUAAAUGUGGAAAACUGUUAGCUUGGCAAAUGAAAAAAAGACAAAAACUUAACACCAUUACCAACUUGGAAAUGGAAGGAAAGAACAUCCAGAAUCCAGUGGAAAUUAGAAAAUGCUUCCAGAGGUACUUUAAACAGUUAUAUACACAAGGGCCACAGAAAGAGUUUGAUUUAGAUCAAUUCUUAAAAACAAAUGGACUUCAAAAAAUCUCUCAAGAAAAUAAGUUAAUGUUGAACUACAAAAUAACAGAACACGAGGUGGAAGGUGCCAUCCAGAACAUGCAGUUGGGCAAAUCUCCAAAGCUAGAUGGCUUAACCUCAAAAUAUUAUAGAUCCUUGAAGGAUUGGAUAAUUCAACCACUAAAGGAGGUUUGUAAUGAAAUUUUGGAGGGGGAAAAAGCGCCAGAGUCGUGGAAGGAAGCUUAUAUUACACUAAUACUGAAAAAUGAGUCUGAAAAGACACAACUUAAGAACUACCGCCCCAUAUCCCUGCUUAAUGUGGAUUAUAAAAUUUUUGCAGAUAUUUUGGCUAAAAGGUUAAAAAAGUAUUAGUGGAGGAGAUACAUAAAGACCAAGCUGGCUUUCUCCCGGGUAGACACUUGUCUGACAACACGAGGAAUAUAAUCAACAUUUUGGAGAUAUUGCAAGUGAAUAUUAAUACUAAAGCUGUUUUAAUUUUUGUGGAUGCGGAGAAAGCCUUUGACAAUAUUUCUUGGAGUUUCAUGAAGAAAAAUUUUCAGGGGAUGGGGGUUGGCCAAGGGUUUGAAAAUGGUAUAAGUGCAAUUUAUUCAGAACAAAAGGCUAAACUAAUAGUUAAUAAUGUGGUGACAGAGGAAUUUAAGAUAGAGAAAGGGACACGACAAGGCUGCCCAAUUUCCCCAUUGCUUUUUAUUUCGGUCCUGGAGGUUUUGCUAAAUAUGAUCAGAAGGGACUGUCUGAUCAAAGGUAUACAGGUCGGAGCCAAACAGUACAAAUUGAAAGCUUUUGCAGAUGAUUUAGUAUUGACGUUACAGGAGCCAGAAUCUAGUACUAAAAGAGUAUUAGAAUUGAUUCAGGAAUUUGGUCAUGUGGCAGGAUUUAAGUUGAACAAGUUAAAAACUAAGGUGCUUGAGAAAAAUUUAACACCGAUUGAGAAAGAGAGGUUUCAGAAGGAGACAGGUUUAACAUUGGUUAAGAAAGUAAAAUACCUGGGGGUUAAUAUGACCGCUAAGAACUUAAACCUAUUUAAAGACAAUUAUGAGAAAUGUUGGUCAGAAGUGAAAAAGGACCUAGAGAUAUGGUCAAACUUGAAGCUUUCCUUGUUAGGUCGAAUUGCUGUUAUAAAGAUGAAUGUAUUGCCAAGAAUGUUAUUUUUGUUUCAAUCAUUGCAAAUCUUGGACAAAAUGGACUGUUUCAAGAAGUGGCAGAGAGACAUUUCUAGAUUUGUCUGGCAGGGCAGGAAGCCCAGAAUAAAAUUUAAAAUAUUAACUGAUGCAAAGGACAGAGGUGGAUUUGCCCUGCCAGACCUUAAACUUUAUUAUGAAUCAGCAGCAUUCUGCUGGUUGAAAGAAUGGCUGCUUCUUGAGAACACAGACAUUUUGGAUUUAGAAGGUUUCAAUAAUGUUUUUGGGUGGCAUGCAUAUUUGUGGUAUGACAAGGUUAAAGCACAUAAAGCAUUUAAAAACCAUAUUGUUAGGAAAGCAUUGUUAAAUGUCUGGAUAAGAUAUAAGGACUUACUUGAAAAUAAAACCCCAAGGUGGUUGUCACCGAUGGAAGCAAAGGCUCAGAAAAAGCUCAAUAUGGAGGCCAAAUGGCCGAAAUAUUGGGAAAUUUUGGAACAAGAAGGAGACAAAUUGAAAUUGCAGAGUUUUGAGAAAUUAAAAGAUAAAGUGCGAGACUGGCUUCAUUAUUAUCAGAUAAUGGAGGCAUACAAUUUGGACAAGAAAAUUGGCUUCCAGGUGGAAAAAUCAAAAUUAGAAACAGAACUGUUAGAACCCAAAACUAAGAUUUUGUCAAAGAUGUAUAACUUGCUGUUGAAAUGGAAUACUCAGGAUGAAACGGUGAAAUCUGCUAUGAUCAAAUGGGCACAAGAUGUUGGACAUAACAUUAUGUUUGCUGACUGGGAACAGUUGUGGACUACAGGUAUGAAAUUUACGGCAUGUAAUGCCUUAAGAGAGAAUAUUAUGAAAAUGAUAUACAGGUGGUACAUGACACCAGUCAAGCUUGCAAAAAUCUAUCAUUUGCCCGAUAAUAAAUGUUGGAAAUGUAAGGAAAAUGAAGGUACAUUCUUUCACCUUUGGUGGACGUGCCCAAAGAUUAAGGCUUUCUGGAAGAUGAUCUAUAAUGAAAUGAAAAAGGUAUUUAAAUAUACCUUUCUAAAGAAACCAGAGGCCUUCUAUGAAACACAGUAGUAGAGCAAUUCAAACUUUCCUUACACCUCUCUCUCUCUCUCUCUCUCUCUCUCUCUCUCUCGUGCGCACUCUCUGUCUCUCUCUCACUCUCUCUGUGUAUGUAUUUGAGGGUUGUGGGAGGGUUGGAACAAGAAAAAGCACACACACACAUUUCCCAGCUGACCCAAAACAUGCAGGCAAUACUGGAUUAUGCUGAAAUGGCAAGACUGACUGGGAAAAUCAGAAAUCAGGAGGAUCAAAACUUCAGUAGAGAUUAGGACAAAGAGAGAUUAUAUUUAAAAGAACACUGUAAACACUUGAACUCUUUGGCAUGCUUUAAAUAACUCUUGCAAUGUGACAAAGACUUUGAAUACUAUGGAAGAUAGAAAUUUGGCUGAAUUUUCAAUAUGCAGUUGACAAAGAUAUUUUAAGAACCCACGAAGGGGACGUCCUAAGAUUCGGAAGAAUCUUGUUUUAUUCUUAAUUUUUGCAAGAAUGUUAGUUGUAUGAAUGAAUUUGUAAAACCAUAUGCACACACGUGCACACACAAAAGCUAGCAAGCAAGCAAAUGGGGAAGAUGCAAAAUGGACCAUUCCAAAAGUAGGAAGGGAAGCCAGCUCAGGACCCACUGGAUCCCAAUAUGGUUUAACAAUCAUUGCCAGCUAGCACUGGAUCUCAUCUGGACCUAAGCUCUGCAGCAACCCAGGGCUGGUACAGGGACUGGGACAAAAUCAUUAUGCGCUCUUCAUUUUCUGCCUUGAGCAGCAAAUCUAUGGUUACACUGAUGGCUCUGCAAAACCCUGCCGGGUAAGAGGGUGGGAUGAGAGGGAUUAGGAUUUCAGCCUAAACCAUUAAAAUACAGUACAAUAAAACCAGAACCAAUUGAUUAAAACUGAAACUCAGUUUAAAUCUCAGUUGUAUGUGUACUGUGACCCUAAUAAUUUGUAUUUGCUGGGUGGGAAAUUAGGUCUUGUUUCCCUGCCGGCCUUUCCACAGAAACCUUUGUCAUGCCACCUCUUCGCAGAGUGACCUAAAGUAACUGGGAAGAGUGUUCGUUUUUGUUGGUGCUAGGCAAGGUUCUCUCUCCCCGUCCUCUUUCAGGAUAGCCUUUGUGAAUUGCAACACCACUACAGUGGUACCUCAGCUUACAUACGCUUCAGGUUACAUACGCUUCAGGUUACAGACUCUGCUAACCCAGAAAUCAUGCUUCAGGUUCAGAACUUUGCUUCAGGAUGAGAACAGAAAUCGUGCUCCGGCAGCACGGCGACAGCAGGAGGCCCC